UACGUAGGGGGCAAGCGUUGUCCGGAUUUAUUGGGCGUAAAGAGCGUGUAGGCGGUCAGGUAGGUCCGUUGUGAAAACUCGAGGCUCAACCUCGAGACGCCGAUGGAAACCAUCUGACUAGAGUCCGGAAGAGGAGAGUGGAAUUCCGUGGUGUAGCGGUGAAAUGCGCAGAUAUCAGGAAGAACACCCGUGGCUAAGGCGGCUCUCUAGUACGGUACUGACGCUGAGACGCGAAAGCGUGGGGAGCGAACAGG
Molecule: ribosomal RNA, 254 nt
Filed under: uncultured bacterium
Lineage: Bacteria
Description: partial 16S ribosomal RNA
Rfam family: Bacterial small subunit ribosomal RNA
Source: RNAcentral